CGGCCGGGACGACCCGGUCGACGCGCUCGCAGGAGGACGGCCUCG
RNAcentral lists this non-coding RNA (45 nucleotides) under Brachybacterium faecium. Its description in RNAcentral is "Guanidine-II sequence". It matches the Rfam family "Guanidine-II riboswitch aptamer (mini-ykkC)". From Rfam's summary of the family: Simpler in structure and has fewer highly conserved nucleotide positions than the ykkC-yxkD leader. Despite this each of its two stem-loop structures directly bind free guanidine. The record is from RNAcentral. RNAcentral also lists the same sequence under 1 other name. Lineage: Bacteria; Bacillati; Actinomycetota; Actinomycetes; Micrococcales; Dermabacteraceae.